AUUUACUUUUGCAGAAUAAUCACCACCACUGAUCUGCCUCCAACAACUACUUCUGAGAAGAUGUACACGCCCUCACCACCUACAGAAACAACAGAAGACGAAAGUAUUUUCAACCUUUCUCCUACAAUGGGGGCUUGUCCUGUCCUCAUCUUUCCACUGGCUUUGAUGCUUUUGCUGCCCUGAUGAACAUCUCCAAUGCAUCUUUUAUUAUUCAUUAUUAUACGAACAUCUACUGCAAAGAUACAAAGAGAAGAUUGAAAAAUAAAUGUUAACGGCUUAAAUUUUGGGUAGGUAGU
This 296-nucleotide long non-coding RNA is filed under the name Gouania willdenowi (blunt-snouted clingfish). RNAcentral's name for it is "lncRNA (ENSGWIG00000006090.1)". The record is from RNAcentral. Lineage: Eukaryota; Metazoa; Chordata; Actinopteri; Blenniiformes; Gobiesocidae.